Molecule: long non-coding RNA, 294 nt
Filed under: Salvia miltiorrhiza (redroot sage)
Lineage: Eukaryota; Viridiplantae; Streptophyta; Magnoliopsida; Lamiales; Lamiaceae
Description: long non-coding RNA (SMIL_LNC003932)
Source: RNAcentral
AUCAUAAUAUUUAUCAUAUGAACAAUCAAUUUCACUUGAGAGAACGACGUUUUGUCUUCCACAUUCUAGCUGGGGAAAAAAUGAUAGCACGAGAAUUGUUUUUCUAUUUUUGUGACUUGUUUAUGGAUGCAACAUAAAUCAGCAUCAAAAUAAAAUUGGUUAGUCGUGCAAACCAUUGACACCUCGACUAAGAGUCUGGAUGCAUAAGUAGAUAGCUACUUCGCCAUGAAGGAACUUUUACAGCUACAGCCACCCACCGCACUCGGAUUUGUUGACACCUGCAUUUUAAAAUGG